GUGUCAGCAGCCGCGGUAAUACGAGGGGGGCGAGCGUUGUUCGGAAUUAUUGGGCGUAAAGGGUGCGUAGGCGGUUUGGUAAGUCUUGUGUGAAAUCUUCGGGCUCAACUCGAAGUCUGCACGAGAAACUGCCGGGCUUGAGUAUGGGAGAGGUGAGUGGAAUUUCCGGUGUAGCGGUGAAAUGCGUAGAUAUCGGAAGGAACACCUGUGGCGAAAGCGGCUCACUGGACCAUAACUGACGCUGAUGCACGAAAGCUAGGGGAGCAAACAGGAUUAGAAACCCCCGUAGUCC
This 292-nucleotide ribosomal RNA is filed under the name uncultured Acidobacterium sp. Its description in RNAcentral is "partial 16S ribosomal RNA". It matches the Rfam family "Bacterial small subunit ribosomal RNA", at positions 505 to 796 of the family's 1533-position model. Lineage: Bacteria; Pseudomonadati; Acidobacteriota; Terriglobia; Terriglobales; Acidobacteriaceae. The record is from RNAcentral.